UACAGAGGUGGCAAGCGUUGUUCGGAAUUACUGGGCGUAAAGGGCGCGUAGGCGGCCUUCUAAGUCAGACGUGAAAUCCCCCGGCUUAACCUGGGAACUGCGUCUGAUACUGGGAGGCUUGAGUAUGGGAGAGGGAUGUAGAAUUCCAGGUGUAGCGGUGAAAUGCGUAGAUAUCGUUUGGAACGCCAAAGGUGAAAACAGACAGCUGGGAGUGUGCUGACGCUGAGGAGCGAAAGCGUGGGGAGCGAACAGG
Molecule: ribosomal RNA, 253 nt
Filed under: uncultured bacterium
Lineage: Bacteria
Description: partial 16S ribosomal RNA
Rfam family: Bacterial small subunit ribosomal RNA
Source: RNAcentral